CGCUGGGCUCCUCCUACAGUAAUCUCGCAGGGUCUGCCUCCUGGGUCUGCCUCCUGCAGGUUCAUCCAGCUGGUUGUGAGUGGGGGUCUCCCUCCUGUUUAGGGCUGGGUGCAGGGGCAUGGGACACUUCUGGAUCCGUCACCCGUCAGCAGGCCCGAGGCUUCCCCAUGUCUCCGCUGCCACAAGCAGAGCUGACGGGACGUGUGAGGGCAGAUGUUGCCAAGAGAGCCUUUGGCUGCACACCCAGAACUGGGAUGGCUGCAACCCGGGGCAGAGCUCUUUGUAGCUCACAAGGACCCUCUGGAUUGUCCCCGAGUGGCUGUACCAUCAACGUUCUGGCAACAGUGGGCAAGGCUCCGUUCCGCCUCAGCCACAUAGCACUGCCUGUCUCUGGGGUGACGGCCACCCUGGCCACCCCCGCAGGUGGGAGCUGUGACCUGCUGUGGUUCUGAUUUGCAUUUCCCUGACAAUGACCUUCACGGAGCAGCUUUCAGACACCUGUUGGUCAUUUCCAUUUCUUCUUUGGACCAAUGUCUCUUUAGUUCCUUUGCCUAUUUUUAGUUAGGUUGUUUGGUUUUCUGCUAUUGAAUUAUAGGAGUCCUUUGCGCAUGUUGGAUAAGCAAUACGAUUGUGUCUCGGGUCAUAUGUUCUAAAUACAUAUCAUUUUCCUAGUACAUUUUGAAAUAAAUGCCUUCCUGUGAACACAAAACGUCUUGCCACCCCGGGAACCCUCCUCCCACUGACCUGCAGCAUCCAGGGUGGCCUCUGCUGCCCAGCCCUGGAUGCCCAGGCUUCUUCCAGUCCAGUUCAAGUCCAUGUGCUCCAGAAAGACCCCCAGGGCCUGGGCUGUGUGGAGUGGAAGGAGGUUGGGCCCCAGGCAGGCGCUGGCUCUCAGUCAGCACAGGGGAGAGAGGUGCCCAGGGGGCCGUUUGGGGUCUGGGUCCCUGUGAAAAUGAAUGGACUCCCCUUCCUCCCUCUCUCUGCCUUCCUCCUUCUCCUCUGCAGCCGCAUGAAGAUCCCAAAGAGGUGAAGAUGGUGCCCCUGGGGAACACUUGGGAAAUUUCACCCCCCCGUGAAGCCAGGGCUCCCCGGAAGAGCAACUUGGCCUCUGAGCUCAUUCCAACAGGGAGCUGGUCUCCAAAGGGGCCAGGGGCGAGCACGUGCGAGCCCCCCGUCCCAGAGCCAGAGCUCACUAGGAGGUUGGGGAAAUAGGCCUUCGUCUCCUUCAGGCUUUGCUGAGCCGAGCUGGGCGUCUUCUGUACCAGGACGGCAGGGGACCAUGGCUGUCACACGAGGUGAGUCGGGGGACUGGGGGAGAGCCAGGGCCAGUGGUGGGGUUGGGGGACAUCUGCCUUCAGGUGCAGGAGCUGGGUGGGGUCCUCUGGCAGUCCUGCUUGCUGAAGCAAGCUGCAGGUUGACACGAAGCCCGGUGUCCCUACUGCCUGUGACACCUCGGAUGUUAGUGAGGGAUCGGGGGCAUGGCCCGUAGGUGGUGACUGUCCCAGGCUGAGACCCAGGUGUCUUCGCGCUGCGCCCAGUAGUUAGCAGGCCCUGCUUACCUACCACGCUCUCAGGUGCGGGCGAGUCCAAGGGACAGAGCAGCAGGCCAGGGCUCUCGUCGGCCCUCUUCCUUGUGGCCAGUGUGACAGUAUGCUUGUCACCAGUGGACACAGUCCACAUGGUGCCACAGUGAAGCAUGUGAUAAAAUGAUGGGGUAAAGUUAGGUAGUAAUUAAGAUGAGUCAAUUAUACAUUUCUUGAAACUCUAAUUAAGACUCCUUUAAUGGAUGUCUCAUUCCCAUCAUUCUCAGGGCAUUGAUACCCACGAAAACCGUUUUGUGAAAACUCAGUGAUGCGUCAGCAAUUAUAUUUAAUUCUCAGCUGAAUGAACUUUAAUCAGCAGUGUUAUUACAGGACCACAGAGCAGAGUGCCAACCUCGCUGCGAGGGGACCACACUUUAUUUAUGGGGUCUCGGGGACCUCAUCGCCAAGGAGUUCAGACAAGCAAAGAAAUUUUUUAAAACCCGCCCUUGAAGAGGAAGAGGAGCCCUGGAGAAGGGAGUCCAGCUAAAGAAGCGCCCGCAGGCUGGGGACGGGGCUGCCUCCCAGUCCAGCUGACAGGACGCGGGGCCACUGCACGGAGGAUGUGGGAGCCUUUCCCGUGAGCUCUCCACAGGAGAAACACGGCGUGCGCAGUUAGGGGCGCAAACCCUACGACUUGAUGGGGUUUUGAGCAUUGAGCGCCCCUGUGUGAGCACCCGAGGUCCCCGGCUGGCUACGGGACACGGCCAGCACCUGUGGCCCUCAGCCAUUCCCACCCGGCUUCCCACCGUCUUCUGGUUUCCAGGGGGACCCCGCUGUUUGGCUCAUUUUCUUCUUAAACUUUUAUUUCACAGUGACCAGGAGGACACCCCCUUUCUGUCUGGCGUUUUGUCCUGAUGUCACCUCGAGGACGGCCGCCUUGCUCUGGGGGCAGCAGGUCACCCUUCCCACCGCAGCAUGAGCACCACUCUGCCCAUCCACCCUGUGUGGAUGGAAAUGGGAUCCUUCCCCACCUGGGGCCAUGUGCUGUGCCCACCCUGGGUCGUCGCUAGGUACCCGCAGCUCGGCCUCUCUCUGGGGGACCCUCCACAUGCCAGGCUUCAGGUGCUAACGCCCUGAGGACCGCCUGGGACCGUGGGAACUUAGUUCUGAAUCGCAAGCUCCUCCGAGGAGCGGCCCCGGGACUCCCACCUGGGUCCAUCACUCCUGCCUAGCGAGGGCCCCCUCACCGCCCCCCUCACAGCCUCCCUCACCGCCUCCUCCCGCCCUUCCUGCUUCUGUGGCUUCACUUUUGCUGGGGCUACUGCUGCCUCUCAGGGCAAAUCUGUGGCCUUAUAAGGACAAUUCCAAUUGUCCCUGGACCCUGUGGGUCAGGAAUUCAGAGCACAAGGGACAGCCUGUCUCCACUCCACAGUAUCUGGGGCCACCAACUGGAAGAUUCACAGCCGGAAGUGGUUGGCACUGGGACAAGAGUGGCAUCUCCACUUAGCUGUCUGGUGUCCAUCCAGGAGGACCCAGAGACCAGGACGGAUGGCCAGAGCCCAUCUGUGGCCUCUCUGCGUGGUGUGCCAGCCACGAGCCACCAGCUGAGUGCUUCAGGUAGCAGAGACAGGGUGCGUGGCUCUGUAGGAGCAGCCUGGCUGCCGGCUGCCUGGUGACGCACUGCAGCCAUCAGCCUGCUCUCGUUCCAGGGAGGAGAGCUAGACUCGCCCCCUAAAGAGGAGGUCACCCUAAGGAUGGGGGCCACUUCUGCCAGCUGCGUCUUUGGGAAACAGUCUGCCAUCCUGCAAUGCACGGCGCUGCCCUGCCGCCAUCUUCCUCGGGGCUCCAGGACGCCACGUCCCUCUGUAUCAUGGGUGCUGCUGGUGGUCGUCUCUCUGUGAGGAUGGCCCUGGCCGCACAGAUGUUGGUGGCACCAUAGGAGGAGCAGGUACUUAAGUUAGCUCAUGUCAAGUGAUUAGAACCAAGGCCACGGGCAGGGCCUUGGAGGCAGCACCCCCUGUAUGGGAGCCAGUCCAAGCCCCAGGGCUGUGGUGCUCUCGCCGACCACGGGGCACUGCGUCUGGGUGCUGUCGUAUGGGGUCCUUUGAAGGCAAGGUGCAUGGACCCAGUUGGCCUUUAACUUGAGUUGCGGGGAACGUGUUGCCAAUGCACCGGUCACUGCCAGGGUGUGGCUGGGACAGCUGGGGCGAGGAACCAGCAUGCCCAGGCUGGCUCUGCCCUGCAAAGGUGUGCAUCCGUGCACGUCACCUGCCGUGAGUCUGGGCGGCUCUUCACUCAGACCCCUUCGUCUCUGGUGGGGAUGCAGCUGUAGGAAGCCUCACUGGGCAGUGACUGGGGCUCCCACAACACUUACGUGCUCUGCCCAGCAGUGGCAGGGAUGUCCCCUACCCCUUGGCCAGAACCAGCAGCACAGUAGCCCCACCUGACUACAGGGGCACAGUAGGGCAUGGUCCCAUCAAGUAUCCAGAAGGAGGCCACAGCUGGAGGGUGAGGGUAGAGUCUGUCCAUCCCACACUCGGGAACGGGAGAAGCUAAUGACGUUCUGUGUCUAGUCUUCCUGUCUCUGUCUCCUGUGUUCACCGUGGCUGCUGGCUUCCUGCCAUCUGUCUUGGGCAUCUGCCUCUCUUUCAACUCACUAUUCACCUCUAACUGGUGAGUCUUAGAGGUCUCAAUGUCCUGCUUCACUUUUCUCGCCAGGUCAUGGUCACCUUUGGCCCCAUGUCCAGUUGGACCUGGUUGGGUGAUAGGGAGUCUCCAGGGAGCAGGGAACAGGGAUCUCAGAGGAGGUCCCAGGGAUUCACACUGUGGAUGCUCACUUCCCCCAACACCUACCAGUCUUCAUUAGCCCGUCGCGGGAAGACGGGGGGCAGGCUUAGCCUUGGUUCAGAAAGCUCCAAGAGCCACACAUGGAAGAAUUGAUCAGAGGUGGGUUUGGAGCCGUCAGGACCUGUGGUGGCCCGGUGGCUGCAGGACCUGCAGAAGGCAGUCUUUGUCUCUGGGCAGACCCCAGGCCCAGGGCGCAGCACCACAGAAGGCCGCGUGAGCCAGCGGCUGUGCUGUUUGUGUCUGCUGAUUGCUUCAUUUUGCUGGGCCCCACGCUGCCAGAACCCAGAGUGCUGUGUGCGGCCCCCGCGCCCCAUCAAUCACUUAUUCAUACAGUUUGAAGAUUAUAGCUGCUCAUUUGGUACUUCCAGUCCAACUUGUCACGGCGCGUCUCGCGGGAGACAUCCGCACAGCUGUAUGAACACCAUCGACUCCUUCUCCAUGGCAACAGACUGGGAAGACGGAAACCCCACAGGCUGCCGCUCAUGAGUGGGAUGCGCACUCCCACCCGAGCCCGCCACCCACAGGAGCAGGGGGCGUGGGGGUCUUCAUUAGUGCCUCUGCCUUCCAGCCAAAGCUCGUCAGCAUGGCUGACGGGUGGCAAGCCAUUUGUCAUUGGCAGGGCAGAUGCGCUCGGCUGUCGUUUCUAACAAGGCCCUCUUACCCUCCCUGGGUGAUAAGAUUCAAUCUAGGGACUGUCUGUUGGGAGCCUGUUAGUGUCAACCUCGGGUCUGGUGGCAAAUUUUAUUAAUCAUACUGUGUUUCCAGCCAACUCUGGCUCUCCGAAGAAGACGGGCCAUGACGGAGGGCCAGUUGGCAGGGGAAGGAGUGUGGCGGGAGGGGUCUCCCCGCGGUGCUCUGAUGGGCUCAGAGUCUGCAGGGAGGUGAGAGGGGCCCUGCCACACAGAGUCUCUACCGCUCAGCAGCCAGCCUCCUGGCACGGCAGGGGCGUGGCUGAGCUACCCACCAUUCACCUUCAGGUCGAGACGAUGCACCUGGGUAAGAGAUGUCCCUGAAGAGGCAUUUUGGACGCAGAGUGGAUAAAAGAGGACACGCCCAUGGGCAAUGUGUCAUGAUCCUCUUUGUCUCCCUGAAGCCUCCUCUAUCCAGGGAGCAAGCAUAAAUCCCUUCCUGUGGUCAUCUGCUCUGGGGGUCUCGGGGAGCCCCUGCCGGUGCCGAGCCCCUGGAUGCCUCCUGGUUCGAGCCCCGUUAGCCAGUCAGUGCUGAUGGCAGAUUAAGUAUCCUGAUGCUUCCUUGGGUGGGAAGACGCUUCUGGGUUUCCUUUCACUCCAGUGGGAAAGCUUCAUUCUUUGGGCAGAAGGCUCCUGGUGUCCCCGAAGUUGAUGUUCUAUUCUGACUCAGCCCAGUGCAGAAGUUGCCAGGGAGGCCGGCGGCUCCUUGAGGCCCGUCCACCAGCUCCGAUCCAUUAUUAAUCACUGUAAAUCUGGAAUAAUCUCUACAAACAUAUUUUGCUCCCUACAAAUAUAUUUGUGCCAACCUUCCCUAAUAAAUC
Molecule: long non-coding RNA, 5880 nt
Filed under: Marmota monax (woodchuck)
Lineage: Eukaryota; Metazoa; Chordata; Mammalia; Rodentia; Sciuridae
Source: RNAcentral